CCGUCUGCAGCCUGAACGCCAUCACUCACCUGUCAGACAAAGCAGAGGGCAGUAAAGAAACACAUAAGUUAUUUGAGUCGUAAUAAUUUCCUCUGCUUCUCUAACUCCUCAGUGUGCUCGUCACUUAUCGGUAGGAUGUAGACACCCUUCGUUUGACCCGCUGCUUCCCCUGAGAUCAGGACUCAGACCGGGAGACUCUACGCUGCUUCAGGCCUGUUUACGUUUAGACCGGAGCGUGCCUGCUGGGCUGCAUGAGGCUUAAUGAUUGAUCACAGGCUUGAGAGGACCAGAGAGCGUCGGCUGUUUGAUGGUAAAGUUUCAGACACGUGAAAUAAUCCAAAAUUCGAUGGGAAUUUUACAACAAACCCCCUUAAAGAUGUAAAUUGUGCGAUUUUUACCGUCUUGGCUGCCAGCGUUAAAAAAGAAACGACCCAAUGCAGACUAACAAUAGUCGGUUUUAUCUCUAUUUAUUCAGGGAAGGUUUGCUGGUUGUGUGUUUGCAGCUACACCCUCCUCAAAAAGGUCACAUUCAGCCACAGCUUCAGAGGACUUCCACCAGA
This is a non-coding RNA of Xyrichtys novacula (pearly razorfish), 560 nucleotides long. The record is from the annotation of a GenBank genome assembly. NCBI's taxonomy places the organism in Eukaryota, Metazoa, Chordata, Actinopteri, Labriformes, Labridae.